Non-coding RNA from Zootermopsis nevadensis, 3100 nucleotides. The record is from RefSeq and is a predicted model, not a curated record. NCBI's taxonomy places the organism in Eukaryota, Metazoa, Arthropoda, Insecta, Blattodea, Termopsidae.
AUGUGGUUAUUAAAACAGUAUAAAAACACUUUUGAAUGUCUGAGGAGAAAAUUUUCUCAGUGACUUUUGUGGAGAGUGUAACAAAGUUUGACGGAAAUUGCCUCAACAAUUAUCACUUAACACCAAAGAUCUACAAGAUCUAUCCUGCAUGCUUCAUGUGUUAUGGAAAUGGUUUACCAGACAAGAUAUUGUUGAUUUUUGGCACACGAGAAUCAAGAAAUGUAUCACUUCACUUAUUUUGGCAAGAAGGUGGCAGUUUUCUGGGUUGUAGUACCAUGUGGAAAGGAAGAGAAGGACCCCUGCUGUGCGUGAUGCUGUACUUGGGAGAACACGGUGCAGCCUUAGACAAGCCGCAGCAGGGGAAACAUUGCAGCAUGCAGAGGGAACACUGUUACUGAGGAAGGGGAAGGAAACAUUAGUGCCAGAAGGUGUUGAAACUAUUACCUACGAAUCCCUGCGUGAUGAACACUGGCCCAGAGUGACUCUGCCUUCCAUGCUGUGGGCCUUCCAUAAGGAACCCACUGGAAAAUUUGUUGCAUUUACCCAUAUAUCAGAAAACACUUCAAGUACAUUUGUAUCAACAGACAAGGCAGUUGUGUUUGAUGGGGCUCUUGAGGCAGAGGUGUAUGUACGUGGAAAGAAGGUUACACCACAGAACUUCCAACACCAUACUCCAAUGACAGUGGAGGAUUUGGAUGCUCUGCUUUAUAAUGUGGAGUCACUGAGUCUUUGCAAAGGGACUGGUCUAGAUUUAUCCCGCUACAGUCCCGACUGCUGCCUCUUUCUGGAGAGGAAGUACCGCAACUCACGAUGUUCUAACUGCUCACUGAAACGAACACAUCUUAAGAAGACUGAGGCUCAGCGCCUGAGGAGGGCAGCAGCUAAACAAAAGGAACCGUUGAAGAAACAGGCAUGAAGACUUUUGUUGAUGUGACCAGUUUUCCGUUGAUUUUGUCAGUCUUGACAGACAAGAAGAUGAAGAUGAUGAGUUAUACUGCUUUCAAUACCAGAACAUUGUCACUGUGUUGCGUUUCUCAUUAUACAUAGAAAACUUUAUGUUCGCCUGUGUGUUUUUGAAGCUGUACCACUUUCCGUUUUGGGGCGUAGCAUUCAAUGGUGCCAGUAUUAUUUUUGACUUAGAAAAUUUAAUUAUCAGGAUGUUGUUAUUAAUCAUGAAGAAUCAAGAAGUUUGAUAAAUUGGCCUAACACAGAGUUUUGUAAAAGUUGGGAAAUUGGUUCAAAAAGCUUUCAAUACCAGUAUAUGGUUGCUGUGUUGCAUUUCUCAUUAUACAUAGAAAAAUUUAUGGUAGUUUGUCUUUCUUGAAGCUGAACCACCAUUAGUUUUGGGGCUUGGCAUUCAGUGGUGCCAGUAUUAUUUUUAUCAUAUAAAAUUUGAUUAUAACUAUGCUGAAUCAAGAAGUUUGAUGAAUUGGCCUAACAGAGUUUUGUAAAAAAUGGGGAAUUGGUUCAAAAUGUAUUUCAUUAAACACAGAGGGCCCUGAUGAUGCAGCGAGUCAGUUUUUUUGUUGAAUUGGGAAAUUUUUCUAAGGAAAGUGCUAAACCUUUGUGCUACAGGAAUGAAUGUGAAUCUUACUGCAUGACGUUGAACGAUGACAAAUAUAAUUUGAAUAUUUUUUAUAAAUGUCUGAUAUUUCUAAGCAGUUUUCAGAAUCAUACAUUCAUUUAAGGCUGAAAUAGUGAUUGAAAAAUUGAAUGGAAGUUCCCAUUUCCUUCAAGUUUAUGUUGCAUCCCUUGUCUUGAAGCUUGUGGGCCUCAGCUUUCCUCAUGUGGGAUGAGGUGGGCUAGAAGGUUUCCUGUAGUGUUUGGUGAUGCAUUGAUAUCUUGUAGUGUGUUGGAGGGAGGUUGGGAAACUUGAACAGACUAACAGAGUGGUCAUACCAAUGUAUCAGGGUAAGUCAGAAAGUUUCCACAGCAAUUUAUUUUAUUAUAAAAUAUGCAUACAAACAACUGUUUACACUAUGUAGGAUACUAAUGCAUUGUUUGUAUGCAUAUUUUAUAUUACAAUACACUACACAGUAUCCAAGGUUUUAAAAUUUAUUUUAUUGCUUUUUGUGUUGGCUGCACUGCUUAUUUUGCACACAGGUAGAAGCACCUAUGCUGUACAUUACUGUGAAAUACUUUGAGCCUUGACUGGUCAAUUGUAAUGAGGUUGCAGUAGAGUUAACAUGGCUGCUGUGCUUUUUGUGUCAACAAAAGAAGAGCAGCGCACAGUAGUACGAUUUCUGUGGGCUGAAGCUGUACCAGGGACAGAAAUCCAUUGUACGCUUUCAAUACAAUAUGAAAACUGUGCUUUAUCACAGUGAAUUGUGUACGAAUGGAUAACCAUGUUCACAAACGGUCUCAUAAGUGUCACCGAUGAAGAACGAUCAGAACGCUCGUCCACAUCCAAUGCAGAGGAAAACAAUGAAGAAGUCUGUGCCGUUAAUUCUGGAUUGGGUAACUUUUGAUGAAGAGGCGCAUUUUCUGCACAUCAGUCAUGGUUCUUCUCAUGCAGUCAUUGAAGACUGACUUGGGUUCCAUGAAGUUUGUGCAAGAUGGGUUCCAAAACAACUCAGAGAAAAGAAGAAAAUCUGCUAUCAUAAUGAAGGUGACAUUGUUUUGAGAUGCAUUGUUACUGGGGAUGAGACAUGAAAUCACCGUUUCACUCCAGAAAAUAAAUUCCAGAGUGUGUAAUGGAAACAUCUGACAUUGCCAGCCACAAAGAAGUUCAGAACUCAACCAUCAGAAGGAAGAGUUAUGUUGACACUUUUUUGGGAUGCACAGGGGCCAAUUUUGGAACAAUAUCUAUAGACAGAAACAACAAUAAAGAGUGUCAGAACCCUUAUGUAUAUGGGGUUCGUCAGCUAGCAACAUGGCUGACAUCGAAGUCCCUAUUGAGUGGACUGUGUACUUCGAUUACAAGGUGAUCAUCAGUUUUUGUUGUCUGCUACCAUUUAUCUGCUACUUACAUAUUUAAAUAGCCUUUGCUCUGUAGUGACAUACCAUGAUGAGUUUUCUUAAUCUGGAUGGUCUAGGUUAUUUUAAUAUACUAGUUGGCUUGCAUUUUACUCAAUAUCAAUAACUAAUGCCUAAAUACUUA